RNAcentral lists this ribosomal RNA (424 nucleotides) under uncultured cyanobacterium. Its description in RNAcentral is "bacterial SSU rRNA". It matches the Rfam family "Bacterial small subunit ribosomal RNA", at positions 364 to 795 of the family's 1533-position model. Lineage: Bacteria; Bacillati; Cyanobacteriota. The record is from RNAcentral.
UUCCGCAAUGGGCGAAAGCCUGACGGAGCAAUACCGGCGUGAGGGAAGAAGGUCUUUGGAUCGUAAACCUCUUUUCUCAGGGAAGAAGUUCUGACGGUACCUGAGGAAUAAGCCUCGGCUAACUCCGUGCCAGCAGCCGCCGGUAAUACGGAGGAGGCAAGCGUUAUCCGGAAUUAUUGGGCGUAAAGCGUUCGCAGGUGGCUCGUCAAGUCCCUGCUGUCAAAGACCGGAGCUUAACUCCGGGUAGGCGGUGGAAACUGAAGAGCUAGAGUGCGGUAGGGGUAGAGGGAAUUCCCAGCGUAGCGGGUGAAAUGCGUAGAGAUUGGGAAGAACACCGGUGGCGAAAGCGCUCUACUAGGCCGCAACUGACCACUCAGGGACGAAAGCUAGGGGGAGCGAAAGGGGAUUAGAUACCCCAGUAGUC